This 471-nucleotide long non-coding RNA is filed under the name Malus domestica (apple). RNAcentral describes it as "long non-coding RNA (MDOM_LNC016545)". The record is from RNAcentral. Lineage: Eukaryota; Viridiplantae; Streptophyta; Magnoliopsida; Rosales; Rosaceae.
AAGCCAGAACCAGAAAGGAGAAUCGAACUCGGGACCUGAGUCAGCGGGAAGUCGCAAAACUGCGCUUCCUAACUUUCUUUUAUCAGUGAAGCUCAAAUAUGUCAAGCUAGGGUACCACUACUUAAUCUCCAACGUCAUCUACCUCCUACUAGUCCCUCUCAUCGCCGCGGCCUCCGCCCACCUCUCCACGCUCACCGCCAAUGACUUCCUCCACUUGUGGCAACAGCUCAAGUUCAACUUCGUCUCGGUCACCUUGUGCUCGGGCCUCAUGGUUUUCCUAACCACCGUAUACUUCACCACCCGCCCUAGAAAAGUAUACUUGGUGAACUUCGCAUGCUACAAGCCCGAGCCGGCCCGCACGUGCACACGUGAGAUAUUCAUGGAGAGGUCGAAGCUGACGGGCAGCUUCUCUGACGAGAACUUGGCCUUUCAGCAAAAGAUUCUCGAGAGGUCCGGCCUCGGGCAAAACAC